Molecule: ribosomal RNA, 468 nt
Filed under: uncultured bacterium
Lineage: Bacteria
Description: partial 16S ribosomal RNA
Rfam family: Bacterial small subunit ribosomal RNA
Source: RNAcentral
GACGAACGCUGGCGGCGUGCUUAACACAUGCAAGUCGAACGGAAAGGCCCUGCUUUUGUGGGGUGCUCGAGUGGCGAACGGGUGAGUAACACGUGAGUAACCUGCCCUUGACUUUGGGAUAACUUCAGGAAACUGGGGCUAAUACCGGAUAGGAGCUCCUGCUGCAUGGUGGGGGUUGGAAAGUUUCGGCGGUUGGGGAUGGACUCGCGGCUUAUCAGCUUGUGGGUGGGGGAGUGGCUUACCAAGGCUUUGACGGGUAGCCGGCCUGAGAGGGUGACCGGCCACAUUGGGACUGAGAUACGGCCCAGACUCCUACGGGAGGCAGCAGUGGGGAAUAUUGCACAAUGGGCGGAAGCCUGAUGCAGCAACGCCGCGUGCGGGAUGACGGCCUUCGGGUUGUAAACCGCUUUCGCCUGUGACGAAGCGUGAGUGACGGUAAUGGGUAAAGAAGCACCGGCUAACUACGUG